This is a long non-coding RNA of Crotalus tigris (Tiger rattlesnake), 1603 nucleotides long. RefSeq lists it as uncharacterized. The record is from RefSeq and is a predicted model, not a curated record. The transcript has 3 exons. Lineage: Eukaryota; Metazoa; Chordata; Lepidosauria; Squamata; Viperidae.
GUGAAUAUUAGGGAAGAAAGAGUUUAUCUGUAAAGAAGGAGAAAUUUAUGUCAAUAUACUUUGCUGGCUAUUCAAAGACUGGAGGAAAGCAUAUUAAUGUGAUCCUGAGGAAGAUUCUGAACAGUUAGGAACAGGUUUUCUUCUCCUUGUACUUCCAACAUGUGGCCCCACAUUCCUGAAUUUUCAUGUGAUGCUGUCGAGGGGAGGAGCCAAGAUGGUGGACAGGCAGCAAAGGCUGUAAAGAGCUCCUUCAAAAAUAUGAGCUUGCAUGUCUAUCAGGCAACUUGAAUGGAUGGAGAUGAUAUGUCAGACAGAUUUUGAACUAGCCCACAGUCUUGACAAGUGUCACCAAAGGCAAACAAAUACAAUGAAGACAACAUCUGAGGGAUUUGUUUCUGGAGCUUAUGUGUGGAAAAAGAAAAAAGUGGAAAAUAGAUUAUUUAUAGAUAGGGAAGUUUGCUUUAUGAAAUAACUGCAAAAACAUCUCUCUAAAUAUGGCACUGAACACAGAGAAUACUUGCAAAAUAAAAAAAUGUAAAACUGAUAGAACAGAGGUCAGAUUUAUUAGCUUAUGGUCUCACUAUAUGACUUUGCCUAGAUUUUUUUUAAGGAUUGCAGAAUGUUUCUGAUUUGCCUCCAUCUUUAAUAUUCUAACAGGUCCAACCAAAAUGACUGGUUCACCUAGCACUCUAAAUCAUACUGUAGUUUGUUUCAAUUAUUAUGCUACUUCUGUAGCCAGCCAUUGUGAUUUGUGUGACUUGGUGUAUUAUACAGAUCUGCCACUGGAGGUGAGAUCUACCGUAUUUCCCUGAAAGUAAGACCUAGUCUUAUAUUACUUUUGCCUCCAAAAGAGGGAUUAGACUUAAUUUUGGGGGUGUCUUAUAUUUUUUGUGACACCUGCCUCGCCUCAUGACAACAGCCCUAUCCAGGAGCCCAUGUGGCUGCCGACCCACUUCUGCGGCCACUUGUGGCAGGAGACUGUGCAGCACAUCAUGCCACUACUGCUACAACAAGACAAAGCAGGUGGGGGAAGGGGUGGAGCUUCUCCACGUGCCCCGCACCCACUUACCGGUACUUCAGCCCUCCCCCAGCCAGGCCAUUUCUUGACUGGCAACCUUUCAUUCCCCUCCUGAGCCGGACUGCCAUGCUAUGGCGAAUGGGAUGGGUAGGGUUGGCUUGGUCUCCCUUCACUGUUUUGGAGCCAGGUGGGAGUGACAGCAAACAGCUCCACUGCCACUAUGCACCUCUGGAAGGGCUUUCUUUAAGCUUCACCCCGGAGAUCACCUGCUCGGGCACAGCCACUGCCUCCUUGUCCUCUGCCAACUCUCCUGUGGCUUGCAUCAUGACCAGGCAGCACAAGCCUCCCCUGCUGCCUGCCUCCACCUUUGUCACCUGUCUCGUAGAGAAUAGAGAACACAGUGGCUCUGUGCAGGGAUGCAGAGCAGAGAACAGCACUUGCUUGUGGCCUGCAUUGUCUCGUGUCUCCCUUCUCCCUUCUGGAAACUGCAGUCCCAUUUCCUGCCACUUCUCCUCCCAGCACAGCUCCUCCCCCUUCCCGAAAGCAUUUCUUUGCUAACCUGUUUUCCAGUUCUGGCGCAUUUUU